CUACAGAAGAGAGAGGAACUUCCAUAUUCACCAGAGAUCAACACAGACCAUCAUCAUCACCAGAGAUCAACACAGACCAUCAUCAUCACCAGAGAUCAACACAGACCAUCAUCAUCACCAGAGAUCAACACAGACCAUCAUCAUCAUCACCAGAGAUCAACACAGACCAUCAUCAUCACCAGAGAUCAACACAGACCAUCAUCAUCACCAGAGAUCAACACAGACCAUCAUCAUCACCAGAGAUCAACACAGACCAUCAUCAUCACCAGAGAUCAACACAGACCAUCAUCAUCACCAGAGAUCAACACAGACCAUCAUCAUCAUCACCAGAGAUCAACACAGACCAUCAUCAUCAUCACCAGAGAUCAACACAGACCAUCAUCAUCAUCACCUUCAUCAUCAUGCUGUCAUUAGACUAUUGUUUACAUUCCCUUCUGUUAGUCUCCAUUCUAAGAGGCGUCAGCGGUGAAGAUCUCUCUCCAUUACAGACAGAAGAGUUCAGGUCAGAAGGCAGCACUGUUACUCUGUCCUACAGAUACUCCAAAACUAUAACAGUUAGUGAAUAUUUCUACUGGUAUCGACAAUAUCCAGGAGAACCACCAGAGUCUAUUCUCUACAUCUCUACAACUUCUACAAGACUAGCAGACUCUCUGAAAUCAGACAAAAGGUUCUCUUCUAAACUGUCUGAAGGAAGGAACAUCGAUCUGCAGAUCUCCUCUGCUGCAGUGACAGACUCUGCUGUGUACUACUGUGCUCUGAGGCCCACAGUGACAGGAAACACCAACACUCUGUACAAAAACACCAGCUGACACACUGACAAGCUGCUGGAAGCCUUUUCUCCACACUGGUGUACUGAGCUGUUCACCUCCACUAGAGGGCCACAUCAUCAAGUAGGCGGUGCACGACUUCUGCACUGUGUUCAACCAUUCAGUCAAUAAUAAGUGCUGCUGUGAAGAGAACAAUCCUCACCCUGAAUGCUGAGCAUCAGCUACUUCCUGCUGCUGAUUUAAACCUUGUUGUAGAG
Eleginops maclovinus (Patagonian blennie) is the source of this 1024-nucleotide non-coding RNA. Lineage: Eukaryota; Metazoa; Chordata; Actinopteri; Perciformes; Eleginopidae. The record is from the annotation of a RefSeq genome assembly.